Oceanibaculum indicum P24 is the source of this 87-nucleotide small RNA. It matches the Rfam family "Makes More Granules Regulator RNA (mmgR)". From Rfam's summary of the family: SuhB later renamed mmgR (makes more granules regulator) was a putative non-coding RNA found multiple times in the Agrobacterium tumefaciens genome and related alpha-proteobacteria. Other non-coding RNAs uncovered in the same analysis include: speF, ybhL, metA, and serC. The record is from Rfam. NCBI's taxonomy places the organism in Bacteria, Pseudomonadati, Pseudomonadota, Alphaproteobacteria, Rhodospirillales, Oceanibaculaceae.
UGACCUUGUCCUCUGUCGUACGCACUUUUGGGCGUUUCCUCCCUAAACUUGGGCCGUGCAGCCGCACGGCCCAUUUUUUUGCGCCUG